UUUGGUGUAAUGGUUACAUGAUAAAAAAAAAUCAAUUGAAAGCUAAAUUUCAAUAACUGUUAAACUUGCUUAAAUUAAUAUUUGUCAAAGAAUGCAAUACCCAAGUAUUUGUGAUAGCAGUAUUAAUGCUGUUAUUAGUUUGAUAUCAAUGAUGAGUAAUUUGCACUUCAAUAAUAAUAGCUUUAUUUGUGGGAGUAGGAUAAAUGCAGCUGGCAAUGGUAUUUGAUGCAUCCUCUAGUAAUAAGCAUUGCAUUGAACCUGAAAUUUUAAUGUCAACUUUUUUCUAGCUAACUUUUUUAUAUUGUUGUUCACUAAAGACAUCCUCGAGGUGCUUAAAAACAAGACAUCAGGAAUUAAAAUGUGCUUUAAAAAUAGACAACAGCAGAGUGAAUGCAGUAAUAUUUGUUUGACAAUUAAAAUCUAACAUCUUUGCAAUACAGCUAACUGCAAAUUGAAGGAAAAUAUGAUUUCUGAGAAUUUGAGGAUUUUUGAAAGAUAAACUGAGUUCCAAAUAUAAGAGACUUUAAGGUGGAAUUUUCACAAUGGAAUAGACGAUGCUGCCAUCUUGUAAGAUUCAAAAGACCAGAGGAAAAGAUAUCCAGUGAAAGUAUAAAUAAAGUCCUGCAGAGCAAUCUUCAAAUCAUAACACAACAGUGAUUGGUGGACCUGGCAGCUAAGACCCUGUUUUCUGGAAUGCCUCAUUCAUCAGCAACGCCAUAUUUAGAAGUGAAUUUGGGUGCAAUCUGGGCUCCAUCAUCAUGCUCCAGAAAACUCCUAAUGCUGGAACAUCACUUCGCUUCAGAAGGCUCAUCUCAAAAGUUCCUCCAGCCCCUCCCUCUGAUUAGAUGGCUGUUUCUAGAACCUUUGAUUGAGAAGGAUGCCCAGAUCAGCCAUCUCUUCAUUUCUCAUCAGGCUCCUCAUCAUUCUUCUUAUGCUGUGUACCCUUUUCCCUAUUUCCUUCCUUCUUAUUAAAUUUCCUUUUUAUUUUGUCUUCCCUUAUCAGAAUGGAAACUCCUUAAGAACAAGGAAUAUUUUUUUCUGCUUGUAUUAGUAAUCACAUUGCUUAACAAAGUGCCUGACAUAUUGUAAAAAAAUCUUAAUAAUGUUUGUUGACUAAUAAAAAGAGCUUUCUGCUUAUCAAAAGAAGGAAACUUUUAAGUGAUGUGAGUGAAUUUUCUUGAACUUCACCCCAAAUUUCUCAAAUGGUCGGGUUGCACCCCUCAAUGGAGCAAAAGGACCUAGGGUAUCUGUGGGGUCACUGGCACUAUGGGAUUUUUCUAUGGCAGGAGUGAGUAGC
Long non-coding RNA from Antechinus flavipes (yellow-footed antechinus), 1297 nucleotides. RefSeq lists it as uncharacterized. Lineage: Eukaryota; Metazoa; Chordata; Mammalia; Dasyuromorphia; Dasyuridae. The record is from RefSeq and is a predicted model, not a curated record. The transcript has 4 exons.